This 253-nucleotide ribosomal RNA is filed under the name uncultured bacterium. RNAcentral describes it as "partial 16S ribosomal RNA". It matches the Rfam family "Bacterial small subunit ribosomal RNA", at positions 524 to 776 of the family's 1533-position model. The record is from RNAcentral.
UACGUAGGUGGCAAGCGUUGUCCGGAAUUAUUGGGCGUAAAGCGCGCGCAGGCGGUCCCUUAAGUCUGAUGUGAAAUCCCACGGCUCAACCGCGGAAGGUCAUUGGAAACUGGGGGACUUGAGUACAGAAGAGGAAAGCGGAAUUCCAAGUGUAGCGGUGAAAUGCGUAGAGAUUUGGAGGAACACCAGUGGCGAAGGCGGCUUUCUGGUCUGUAACUGACGCUGAGGCGCGAAAGCGUGGGGAGCAAACAGG